UGUUAAUGAGGAAAUAUCUGUAUUUC
Molecule: non-coding RNA, 26 nt
Filed under: Rattus norvegicus (Norway rat)
Lineage: Eukaryota; Metazoa; Chordata; Mammalia; Rodentia; Muridae
Source: RNAcentral